Molecule: ribosomal RNA, 2901 nt
Filed under: Klebsiella pneumoniae
Lineage: Bacteria; Pseudomonadati; Pseudomonadota; Gammaproteobacteria; Enterobacterales; Enterobacteriaceae
Description: 23S ribosomal RNA
Rfam family: Bacterial large subunit ribosomal RNA
Source: RNAcentral
GGUUAAGCGACUAAGCGUACACGGUGGAUGCCCUGGCAGUCAGAGGCGAUGAAGGACGUGCUAAUCUGCGAAAAGCGUCGGUAAGGUGAUAUGAACCGUUAUAACCGGCGAUGUCCGAAUGGGGAAACCCAGUGCAAUUCGUUGCACUAUCGUUAACUGAAUACAUAGGUUAACGAGGCGAACCGGGGGAACUGAAACAUCUAAGUACCCCGAGGAAAAGAAAUCAACCGAGAUUCCCCCAGUAGCGGCGAGCGAACGGGGAGCAGCCCAGAGUCUGAAUCAGCUUGUGUGUUAGUGGAACGGUCUGGAAAGUCCGACGGUACAGGGUGAUAGUCCCGUACACCAAAAUGCACAGGCUGUGAACUCGAAGAGUAGGGCGGGACACGUGGUAUCCUGUCUGAAUAUGGGGGGACCAUCCUCCAAGGCUAAAUACUCCUGACUGACCGAUAGUGAACCAGUACCGUGAGGGAAAGGCGAAAAGAACCCCGGCGAGGGGAGUGAAAAAGAACCUGAAACCGUGUACGUACAAGCAGUGGGAGCACCUUCGGGUGUGACUGCGUACCUUUUGUAUAAUGGGUCAGCGACUUAUAUUCUGUAGCAAGGUUAACCGUAUAGGGGAGCCGCAGGGAAACCGAGUCUUAACUGGGCGUUAAGUUGCAGGGUAUAGACCCGAAACCCGGUGAUCUAGCCAUGGGCAGGUUGAAGGUUGGGUAACACUAACUGGAGGACCGAACCGACUAAUGUUGAAAAAUUAGCGGAUGACUUGUGGCUGGGGGUGAAAGGCCAAUCAAACCGGGAGAUAGCUGGUUCUCCCCGAAAGCUAUUUAGGUAGCGCCUCGUGAACUCAUCUUCGGGGGUAGAGCACUGUUUCGGCUAGGGGUCAUCCCGACUUACCAACCCGAUGCAAACUACGAAUACCGAAGAAUGUUAUCACGGGAGACACACGGCGGGUGCUAACGUCCGUCGUGAAGAGGGAAACAACCCAGACCGCCAGCUAAGGUCCCAAAGUCAUGGUUAAGUGGGAAACGAUGUGGGAAGGCACAGACAGCCAGGAUGUUGGCUUAGAAGCAGCCAUCAUUUAAAGAAAGCGUAAUAGCUCACUGGUCGAGUCGGCCUGCGCGGAAGAUGUAACGGGGCUAAACCAUGCACCGAAGCUGCGGCAGCGACACUAUGUGUUGUUGGGUAGGGGAGCGUUCUGUAAGCCUGCGAAGGUGUGCUGUGAGGCAUGCUGGAGGUAUCAGAAGUGCGAAUGCUGACAUAAGUAACGAUAAAGCGGGUGAAAAGCCCGCUCGCCGGAAGACCAAGGGUUCCUGUCCAACGUUAAUCGGGGCAGGGUGAGUCGACCCCUAAGGCGAGGCCGAAAGGCGUAGUCGAUGGGAAACAGGUUAAUAUUCCUGUACUUGGUGUUACUGCGAAGGGGGGACGGAGAAGGCUAUGUUAGCCGGGCGACGGUUGUCCCGGUUUAAGCAUGUAGGCUGAUUGUCCAGGCAAAUCCGGAUAAUCAAGGCUGAGGUGUGAUGACGAGGCACUACGGUGCUGAAGUAACAAAUGCCCUGCUUCCAGGAAAAGCCUCUAAGCAUCAGGUAACAUUAAAUCGUACCCCAAACCGACACAGGUGGUCAGGUAGAGAAUACCAAGGCGCUUGAGAGAACUCGGGUGAAGGAACUAGGCAAAAUGGUGCCGUAACUUCGGGAGAAGGCACGCUGGUGUGUAGGUGAAGUCCCUGCGGAUGGAGCUGAGACCAGUCGAAGAUACCAGCUGGCUGCAACUGUUUAUUAAAAACACAGCACUGUGCAAACACGAAAGUGGACGUAUACGGUGUGACGCCUGCCCGGUGCCGGAAGGUUAAUUGAUGGGGUUAUCCGUAAGGAGAAGCUCUUGAUCGAAGCCCCGGUAAACGGCGGCCGUAACUAUAACGGUCCUAAGGUAGCGAAAUUCCUUGUCGGGUAAGUUCCGACCUGCACGAAUGGCGUAAUGAUGGCCAGGCUGUCUCCACCCGAGACUCAGUGAAAUUGAACUCGCUGUGAAGAUGCAGUGUACCCGCGGCAAGACGGAAAGACCCCGUGAACCUUUACUAUAGCUUGACACUGAACAUUGAGCCUUGAUGUGUAGGAUAGGUGGGAGGCUUUGAAGCGUGGACGCCAGUCUGCGUGGAGCCAACCUUGAAAUACCACCCUUUAAUGUUUGAUGUUCUAACGUUGGCCCCUUACCGGGGUUGCGGACAGUGUCUGGUGGGUAGUUUGACUGGGGCGGUCUCCUCCCAAAGCGUAACGGAGGAGCACGAAGGUUAGCUAAUCCUGGUCGGACAUCAGGAGGUUAGUGCAAUGGCAUAAGCUAGCUUGACUGCGAGCGUGACGGCGCGAGCAGGUGCGAAAGCAGGUCAUAGUGAUCCGGUGGUUCUGAAUGGAAGGGCCAUCGCUCAACGGAUAAAAGGUACUCCGGGGAUAACAGGCUGAUACCGCCCAAGAGUUCAUAUCGACGGCGGUGUUUGGCACCUCGAUGUCGGCUCAUCACAUCCUGGGGCUGAAGUAGGUCCCAAGGGUAUGGCUGUUCGCCAUUUAAAGUGGUACGCGAGCUGGGUUUAGAACGUCGUGAGACAGUUCGGUCCCUAUCUGCCGUGGGCGCUGGAGAAUUGAGGGGGGCUGCUCCUAGUACGAGAGGACCGGAGUGGACGCAUCACUGGUGUUCGGGUUGUCAUGCCAAUGGCACUGCCCGGUAGCUAAAUGCGGAAGAGAUAAGUGCUGAAAGCAUCUAAGCACGAAACUUGCCCCGAGAUGAGUUCUCCCUGAGACUUUAAGUCUCCUGAAGGAACGUUGAAGACGACGACGUUGAUAGGCCGGGUGUGUAAGCGCAGCGAUGCGUUGAGCUAACCGGUACUAAUGAACCGUGAGGCUUAACCUU